Molecule: non-coding RNA, 2096 nt
Organism: Anas platyrhynchos (mallard)
Lineage: Eukaryota; Metazoa; Chordata; Aves; Anseriformes; Anatidae
Source: RefSeq, a predicted model, not a curated record
AGCUUCAGCAGGCAGAUCAAAGAAAGUAACAGCCUGUGAUAAAAAUAAAAAAUAAAAAAUUUUAUAUAUAAAAAUAUAUAUACAUUUCCAUUAGACCCCUCAUCGACCUUCCUUACCCCAGCUCUGCCCCCAAAAUCCUACAUGCUGGGGGAGCUUGGCCAGACCCCACACCAGCAGAUGUCCAUGGGACUGUCCCCGUGGAGAAGUGGUGUCCUCAGCCAGGAGAGGCCACCUAGGGCAGAGCCCCAGCACCCGUGGACCUUGGGAGCCUGCGGGCUCCCAAAAACCAGCUGGAUGAGGUCACCCCAAUGCAACCUUACUGGAGACUGGGGAGCUACAGGCAAGGCUGGCCUUGUCCAAAAAUCCUUGAUGGGAUCCUUCACCCAUUGCCCAGCUUACGAGCACAUUCAUUUCCCCCUUCAUUCUCCAGCUGUAAAGGCAGAGAAUUUAAAAAUUAAACCCUGCUGGGAAAUAAAAUAGUCGUAGGUCCCUUGAGACACAAGUUACAGCUACAACCCAGCACCAGGAGUGUGGAAACAGCCUCGCUACGUAUUGUGGGGUUUGACAGGUAGGAAAAUAUUUCUCAGCUGAGCUUUCCCCUUCAGUUUGGGUUAAUAGUUUGGCUCCAGCUUUAUGGAGAAAUUCCUGCCUUUUCCAGAACACAUAAAUUUUAAAACGUAACCAGCACGAGAGAGAAGAUCUAUCUGCUGGAUGCCUGAUUAAUGCUGAAUUCCUUCCCUCCGUACAGCAUUCCUCUUUUGAAAGCACUCUGGCUCUUCACAGCUCCUCUCCUUCAGACUUUGAGGAGAUGCCUGUGCUGAGGACAAGCAGGGAGUUCAGUUUUUGUGUUGUUUUUAGCGUGGCAACACACACGAGAUACAUGCAAUAAAAAGAACAAGGGGAGCUGUUUCCGGCAAACAAUUUAUUUCAGCUUGUGAAUUAUCCAGGAGGAUAACCACUACAUGUUUUUACUACACAGUCAGCUGUCUGUCAGAGUUACUGGGCAAGCCACGUGAGCGUAUUUUGGUGUGCGAGCUGUGCCUCGUGAUGCCUGAACCCCCUGCCUCCAGGAGGAACCUGCUCCCACCAGCAGUGGGGACCAAGGUCAGCACACCCAUGGGAUGUCACAGAUGGCUUUGUGGUGCCAAGACCAAAUUUUAACCCUAAUUUGAUUCACCAGCUUCCAGCCCACCCCACAGAGCCUGGCCACGGGCUCCCACACCCGUGGAUGUGGCUGGGUAAUGGGAAAAGGCAGCAAGCCCAGCUGCAGCGCUGCCUUCUGAAGAAGUCCUGACAUCGCAGGUGGAGCUGAAUUGGAAAAUUAAUUAUCCCCAUCAGGAAGCUUCAGAGCUGAGCAAUAAAUGGAUCCCUUUCACAGCCAGCUUCAGCUUUGCCCCUCUGCUGUGAACCUGUGUAAUGAAGCGGUGCUCGGGGAGUGUCACAAGUCUCGGGAGCCCUGCUAGGUCUCAGCCCCAGCAAAUCCGCCUGUUCCUGUGCGUGGGGCAGGCAUUGCAAGGCUCUCUGCUUUGGUCUUCUUCCCGGUCAUCUACCAUUCGUAGCACUGCUCUGAAACACCAUCAUAAUCCUGGGGGAGAAACGUGAAGGAAGGAAAGAAAAAGACUUCUCACGCACCCCUUGCCCUGUCUGACUCUGAUUCAUGCAUAGAGAAAAGCAUCUUUCGCUGUCUGAAGGGACCAGAGGACAAAAGAUGCUUGUGAAAUACAGAUGCAGAUGGUAGUCCUGCCUCCUCCUUGCAUUAAAACAUUAGCUCCUGGAUGCUCGCCUGGCCGUGGCUGGAGACGUGAUGGUAUUUUCCAGGACAGCUCUUGCCCCUGCCCAAUGGCCAGCUCAAAUUUCCCCUCUUCCAAAGGCAAAGCUGGAGACUUGAAAGGAGGGAAUAGGAAUCAAAAAGCAAGGUAGAAGCAGAUAUAAAUCCACAAAAUGAGGCAAGGCAGGGUUAGGAUGAGGGCUUGUACGAAGAGCACAUCUCCGUGCCCAGCUCUGCGGUCGCUCACCCCAGGCAGCAGCACUACAUCCUGCCUCCCUCUGCUCCUCUCUGUGGGGCUGAGGAGGGAAAUGGUAUUGCUGGGCUCAAU